Molecule: ribosomal RNA, 379 nt
Filed under: uncultured Pseudomonas sp.
Lineage: Bacteria; Pseudomonadati; Pseudomonadota; Gammaproteobacteria; Pseudomonadales; Pseudomonadaceae
Description: bacterial SSU rRNA
Rfam family: Bacterial small subunit ribosomal RNA
Source: RNAcentral
GAAGGACCCGGUCUUCGGACUGGGAGCGUACACAGGUGCUGCAUGGCUGUCGUCAGUUCGUGUCGUGAGAUGUUGGGUUAAGUCCGUAACGAGCGCAACCCUUGUCCUUAGUUACCAGCACGUUAUGGUGGGCACUCUAAGGAGACUGCCGGUGACAAACCGGAGGAAGGUGGGGAUGACGUCAAGUCAUCAUGGCCCUUACGGCCUGGGCUACACACGUGCUACAAUGGUCGGUACAAAGGGUUGCCAAGCCGCGAGGUGGAGCUAAUCCCAUAAAACCGAUCGUAGUCCGGAUCGCAGUCUGCAACUCGACUGCGUGAAGUCGGAAUCGCUAGUAAUCGUGAAUCAGAAUGUCACGGUGAAUACGUUCCCGGGCCUU